This 263-nucleotide ribosomal RNA is filed under the name uncultured bacterium. RNAcentral's name for it is "partial 16S ribosomal RNA". It matches the Rfam family "Bacterial small subunit ribosomal RNA", at positions 793 to 1055 of the family's 1533-position model. The record is from RNAcentral.
GUCCACGCCCUAAACGGUGCACACUAGGUCUUGGAGGAUUCGACCCCUUCAGGGCCCAAGCUAACGCGUUAAGUGUGCCGCCUGAGGACUACGGCCGCAAGGCUAAAACUCAAAGGAAUUGACGGGGGCCCGCACAAGCGGUGGAGCAUGUGGCUCAAUUCGAUGCAACGCGAAGAACCUUACCAGGCCUUGACAUGCACUAGACAGACGCUGAAAGGCGUUCUCCCUUCGGGGCUGGUGCACAGGUGCUGCAUGGCUGUCGU